AUGCUUGCUUUGGCAGCACAUAUCCUAAAACUGGAACAAUAAAGAGAUUAGUGUGGCCCCUGCACAUGCAAAUUCAUGACACAUUCCAUAUUUUC
Molecule: small nuclear RNA, 95 nt
Filed under: Dasypus novemcinctus (nine-banded armadillo)
Lineage: Eukaryota; Metazoa; Chordata; Mammalia; Cingulata; Dasypodidae
Source: RNAcentral